GACAGAGGGUGCAAACGUUGCUCGGAAUUACUGGGCGUAAAGCGCGUGUAGGCGGACCACCAAGUCGGACGUGAAAGCCCUGAGCUCAACUCAGGAACUGCAUCCGAAACUGGCGGUCUGGAGUAGUGGAGAGGAAAGCAGAAUUCCUGGUGUAGAGGUGAAAUUCGUAGAUAUCAGGAGGAACACCGGUGGCGAAGGCGGCAUCCUGGACCGGUAUUGACGCUGAGGCGCGAAAGCUAGGGGAGCAAACGGG
Molecule: ribosomal RNA, 253 nt
Filed under: uncultured bacterium
Lineage: Bacteria
Description: partial 16S ribosomal RNA
Rfam family: Bacterial small subunit ribosomal RNA
Source: RNAcentral